This 406-nucleotide ribosomal RNA is filed under the name uncultured bacterium. RNAcentral's name for it is "partial 16S ribosomal RNA". It matches the Rfam family "Bacterial small subunit ribosomal RNA", at positions 29 to 526 of the family's 1533-position model. The record is from RNAcentral.
AUUGAACGCUGGCGGCAGGCUUAACACAUGCAAGUCGAGCGAGAGGCGGACGGGUGAGUAAUGUCUGGGAAACUGCCUGAUGGAGGGGGAUAACUACUGGAAACGGUAGCUAAUACCGCAUAAGAUCCGAUGUGCCCAGAUGGGUUUAGCUAGUAGGUGGGGUAACGGCUCACCUAGGCGACGAGCCCUAGCUGGGCUGAGAGGAUGACCGGCCACACUGGAACUGAGACACGGCCCAGACUCCUACGGGAGGCAGCAGUGGGGAAUAUUCCACAAUGGGCGAAAGCCUGAUGCAGCCAUGCCGCGUGAGUGAAGAAGGCUUUCGGGUUGUAAAGCACUUUCAGCGGGGAGGCGGUACUCGCAGAAGAAGCACCGGCUAACUACGUGCCAGCAGCCGCGGUAAUAC